Long non-coding RNA from Lutra lutra (Eurasian river otter), 350 nucleotides. RefSeq lists it as uncharacterized. The record is from RefSeq and is a predicted model, not a curated record. The transcript is spliced from 3 exons. NCBI's taxonomy places the organism in Eukaryota, Metazoa, Chordata, Mammalia, Carnivora, Mustelidae.
UCCACAGGCCAAACCGGAUUUUUCCUUAAGCAUUUUCAGAGCAUCAGCGAGAACCUCCUUCGAAGCCAAAAGUGUUCAGCACCUGAAAAACAUUUCAAUCUAGUUCUUUCUGGAUAAAAGAAAGAGAGCAAGAAUUAAGCUAAGGAUACUAUCCCCUCUGAUGCUAAUAGUGUGUCAGGAAUGAAAUUCUUCCAUGAAUCUUGGAGCAGAGAAUAUCCCAUUUCAUAAAAUCAAAUGUGCCUUUGCCACACGAGUGCAUGAAAUAUCACUACUGAAGGAGCAGCAGUUUUGAUUGUUGGAGAGUAGAAGUGGAAAUCCAUUUUAGUGUGUGCUGAUGACUGAGGUAUUAU